UUCAGGGACUGCACAUGUUAAUUCCACCCACUGUGGCAGCAAAUGAUCAAACCCGAGGAUCAGACAAGUGCUGAAAAGCCCUGGGCAGACACCAAUUAUUCCAAUCAGUUAAUCAGUGCCCCGGAUAGCAGACAGAGCAGCGCAGCUUCCUUCUCGGCUUUGCAUAGUAAUGGGGGAGAGGAAACUCGCAUCGUCUUUUCAUCCCCUUUCCGGGGCAACGAGAACUGAUCGGCUCCGUUCAGACCUUUCAGAUUCCCCACUCUGUGGUUCCCUGGAAAGCGACUCCCAAACCAGAAGGCCAGAAGAACGGAAAAUCCUCCUACGUGGCUCAGCAUAGAUGCAACCCUAUGAAGGGCAGCAGGUUCGGGGCCGUUGUUUGGACCGCCCCUCCCAGUGUGACAAGCUGCCCAUUGGACAGCCACCAUGGAGUGUGACUGUGGGACUGUCUGACUGAAAUGUUUCUGUCCUUUUCAUCUUAGGAAAAGUUUUCUUUUUUUUAAAAAAUGUAAAAUUUAAUUUAAAAAUAGAGGCGCUCAAAUAAAUCAAUCCCUUUUCUAUCCUCUU
Chrysemys picta bellii (western painted turtle) is the source of this 564-nucleotide non-coding RNA. Lineage: Eukaryota; Metazoa; Chordata; Testudines; Emydidae. The record is from RefSeq and is a predicted model, not a curated record.